AAAAAAGGUAAGCUACUAAGAGCGAAUGGUGGAUGCCUUGACUGGUAAAGGCGAUGAAGGACGUACUAGACUGCGAUAAGCUACGGGGAGCUGUCAAGAAGCUUUGAUCCGUAGAUUUCCGAAUGGGGCAACCCAAUGUAUAGAGAUAUACAUUACCUAUAUAGGAGCGAACGAGGGGAAUUGAAACAUCUUAGUACCCUCAGGAAAAGAAAUCAAUAGAGAUUGCGUCAGUAGCGGCGAGCGAAAGCGCAAGAGGGCAAACCCAGUGCUUGCACUGGGGGUUGUAGGACUGCAAUGUGCAAGAGGUAAGUUUAGCAGAACAUUCUGGAAAGUAUAACCAUAGAGGGUGAUAGUCCCGUAUGCGAAAAACAAACCUUAGCUAGCAGUAUCCUGAGUAGGGCGGGACACGAGGAAUCCUGUCUGAAUCCGGGUCGACCACGAUCCAACCCUAAAUACUAAUACCAGAUCGAUAGUGCACAAGUACCGUGAGGGAAAGGUGAAAAGAACUGAGGUGAUCAGAGUGAAAUAGAACCUGAAACCAUUUGCUUACAAUCAUUCAGAGCCCUAUGUAGCAAUACAGGGUGAUGGACUGCCUUUUGCAUAAUGAGCCUGCGAGUUGUGGUGUCUGGCAAGGUUAAGCAAACGCGAAGCCGUAGCGAAAGCGAGUCUGAAUAGGGCGCUUAGUCAGAUGCUGCAGACCCGAAACGAAGUGAUCUAUCCAUGAGCAAGUUGAAGCUAGUGUAAGAACUAGUGGAGGACUGAACCCAUAGGCGUUGAAAAGCCCCGGGAUGACUUGUGGAUAGGGGUGAAAGGCCAAUCAAACUUCGUGAUAGCUGGUUCUCUCCGAAAUAUAUUUAGGUAUAGCGUUGUGUCGUAAUAUAAGGGGGUAGAGCACUGAAUGGGCUAGGGCAUACACCAAUGUACCAAACCCUAUCAAACUCCGAAUACCUUAUAUGUAAUCACAGCAGUCAGGCGGCGAGUGAUAAAAUCCGUCGUCAAGAGGGAAACAACCCAGACUACCAGCUAAGGUCCCUAAAUCUUACUUAAGUGGAAAACGAUGUGAAGUUACUUAAACAACCAGGAGGUUGGCUUAGAAGCAGCCAUCCUUUAAAGAAAGCGUAAUAGCUCACUGGUCUAGUGAUUUUGCGCGGAAAAUAUAACGGGGCUAAAGUAAGUACCGAAGCUGUAGACUUG
RNAcentral lists this ribosomal RNA (1194 nucleotides) under Campylobacter jejuni. Its description in RNAcentral is "partial 23S ribosomal RNA". It matches the Rfam family "Bacterial large subunit ribosomal RNA", at positions 1 to 1210 of the family's 2925-position model. The record is from RNAcentral. Lineage: Bacteria; Pseudomonadati; Campylobacterota; Epsilonproteobacteria; Campylobacterales; Campylobacteraceae.